GGAGCCACUAUUAAAUUUAGUAUUAUCUUUAUAAAUAAAAAUUAACCUGCCAAUGAAAAUUUUGGUAUAAAAUUUUUAGACGAUAAGACCCUAAGAAUCUUUAUUUAAUAAUACUACUUUUUAUAAAAAAAAAACUAAAUUUAAUUGGGGAAAUGAUUAAUAAAGAUAUUUAUAAAAUUUUUGAAAUAAAGAUCCUAUUUAUAGAGACAAUGAAAAAGAUACUCUAGGGAUAACAGCAUAA
This 241-nucleotide ribosomal RNA is filed under the name Heterorhabdus tanneri. RNAcentral describes it as "partial 16S rRNA". Lineage: Eukaryota; Metazoa; Arthropoda; Copepoda; Calanoida; Heterorhabdidae. The record is from RNAcentral.